GUGGGGAAUAUUGGACAAUGGGCGCAAGCCUGAUCCAGCCAUGCCGCGUGAGUGAUGAAGGCCUUAGGGUUGUAAAGCUCUUUCAGUGGGGACGAUAAUGACGGUACCCACAGAAGAAGCCCCGGCUAACUUCGUGCCAGCAGCCGCGGUAAUACGAAGGGGGCUAGCGUUGUUCGGAUUUACGGGGCGUAAAGCGCAAGUAGGCGGAUCGUUAAGUCGGGGGUGAAAUCCUGGAGCUCAACUCCAGAACUGCCUUCGAUACUGGCGAUCUUGAGUCCGGAAGAGGUGAGUGGAACUCCUAGUGUAGAGGUGGAAUUCGUAGAUAUUAGGAAGAACACCAGUGGCGAAGGCGGCUCACUGGUCCGGUACUGACGCUGAGGUGCGAAAGCGUGGGGAGCAAACAGGAUUAGAAACCCGAGUAGUCC
RNAcentral lists this ribosomal RNA (425 nucleotides) under uncultured bacterium. RNAcentral describes it as "bacterial SSU rRNA". It matches the Rfam family "Bacterial small subunit ribosomal RNA", at positions 354 to 796 of the family's 1533-position model. The record is from RNAcentral.